GAUGAACGCUGGCGGCGUGCCUAAUACAUGCAAGUCGAGCGAACAGACGAGGAGCUUGCUCCUCUGACGUUAGCGGCGGACGGGUGAGUAACACGUGGAUAACCUACCUAUAAGACUGGGAUAACUUCGGGAAACCGGAGCUAAUACCGGAUAAUAUAUUGAACCGCAUUGUUCAAUAGUGAAAGACGGUUUUGCUGUCACUUAUAGAUGGAUCCGCGCCGCAUUAGCUAGUUGGUAAGGUAACGGCUUACCAAGGCAACGAUGCGUAGCCGACCUGAGAGGGUGGUCGGCCACACUGGGACUGAGACACGGUCCAGACUCCUACGGGAGGCAGCAGUAGGGAAUCUUCCGCAAUGGGCGAAAGCCUGACGGAGCAACGCCGCGUGAGUGAUGAAGGUCUUCGGAUCGUAAAACUCUGUUAUUAGGGAAGAACAAAUGUGUAAGUAACUAUGCACGUCUUGACGGUACCUAAUCAGAAAGCCACGGCUAACUACGUG
RNAcentral lists this ribosomal RNA (497 nucleotides) under uncultured bacterium. RNAcentral describes it as "partial 16S ribosomal RNA". It matches the Rfam family "Bacterial small subunit ribosomal RNA", at positions 28 to 507 of the family's 1533-position model. The record is from RNAcentral.